Molecule: ribosomal RNA, 439 nt
Filed under: uncultured beta proteobacterium
Lineage: Bacteria; Pseudomonadati; Pseudomonadota; Betaproteobacteria
Description: bacterial SSU rRNA
Rfam family: Bacterial small subunit ribosomal RNA
Source: RNAcentral
GGAUCGCAAGACCUUGCGCGAAUGGAGCGGCCGAUGGCAGAUUAGGUAGUUGGUGAGGUAAAGGCUCACCAAGCCUUCGAUCUGUAGCUGGUCUGAGAGGACGACCAGCCACACUGGGACUGAGACACGGCCCAGACUCCUACGGGAGGCAGCAGUGGGGAAUUUUGGACAAUGGGCGCAAGCCUGAUCCAGCCAUGCCGCGUGCAGGAUGAAGGCCUUCGGGUUGUAAACUGCUUUUGUACGGAACGAAAAGUCUCUUUCUAAUAAAGAGGGAUCAUGACGGUACCGUAAGAAUAAGCACCGGCUAACUACGUGCCAGCAGCCGCGGUAAUACGUAGGGUGCAAGCGUUAAUCGGAAUUACUGGGCGUAAAGCGUGCGCAGGCGGUUUUGUAAGUCAGAUGUGAAAUCCCCGGGCUUAACCUGGGAACUGCGUUUGAA